UACCCGACUUCCAUCCAGGGAUUCAACCUUCGUUCAUAGAAAGAUUGCUCACGUCCCUGGCGACACAUAUGUUAUAACAAAGGAAUCAAAUUAACGAGUUAAAACAAAUUUUGUGUUAUUGUGGAGGACGGAAAAUCACGAAUUGUUUUCGUAUUUUUUUACGGCUCACCACGGGACGGGACGAGCCGGGAUUUGGUCAUCCCGUCCCGUCCCGAUAUCUCUAUCGGGACAAAUAAUCGGUACGGGACGGGACAAAUCUUUACACCGUCCCGUCCCGAAUCCCGUCCCGACCCGUCCCGAUCGGGACGGGACAUCCCGGUAUAACAGCUUUGAAAUGCAAAUGAUAUGAAUUAAAAUAUUUUGAGCAAAUUAAAUUAAUUCAUACAACAAAAAGCAAAUUACGUAACAUGUAACAAAGAUAAAACAUACAUUGUGCUAAUUAAAGCAGGUUAACCAAAUAUUUUGUUAUAACACACGCUGAAAUUUUAGUCAUAAAAUUAGAAUUAUUUUGAUACCCAGGCUUUCAAACACAAGCAAUCUUAAACAGUUUCGUCAAGCAUUAAUUUCCGGUUGCAAUCCA
Molecule: long non-coding RNA, 580 nt
Organism: Folsomia candida
Lineage: Eukaryota; Metazoa; Arthropoda; Collembola; Entomobryomorpha; Isotomidae
Exons: 2
Source: RefSeq, a predicted model, not a curated record